UUAACUCAAAUCUGUAUGGAGUGGAACGUUAGCCUACGUUUGCCGCUAGGGGCGCUGUUCCAACUGCAUACAAAUAUUUACGGCA
Molecule: microRNA precursor, 85 nt
Filed under: Bombyx mori (domestic silkworm)
Lineage: Eukaryota; Metazoa; Arthropoda; Insecta; Lepidoptera; Bombycidae
Description: mir-2807 microRNA precursor family
Rfam family: mir-2807 microRNA precursor family
Source: Rfam by way of RNAcentral